RNAcentral lists this ribosomal RNA (500 nucleotides) under uncultured bacterium. RNAcentral describes it as "bacterial SSU rRNA". It matches the Rfam family "Bacterial small subunit ribosomal RNA", at positions 900 to 1400 of the family's 1533-position model. The record is from RNAcentral.
CUCAAAUGAAUUGACGGGGGCCCGCACAAGCGGUGGAGCAUGUGGUUUAAUUCGACGCAACGCGAAGAACCUUACCUGGCCUUGACAUGCUGAGAACUUUCCAGAGAUGGAUUGGUGCCUUCGGGAACUCAGACACAGGUGCUGCAUGGCCGUCGUCAGCUCGUGUCGUGAGAUGUUGGGUUAAGUCCCGUAACGAGCGCAACCCCUAUCCCUAGUUGCUAGCAGUUCGGCUGAGAACUCUAGGGAGACUGCCGGUGACAAACCGGAGGAAGGUGGGGAUGACGUCAGGUCAUCAUGGCCCUUACGGCCAGGGCUACACACGUGCUACAAUGGUGCGUACAGAGGGUUGCAAACCCGCGAGGGGGAGCCAAUCUCACAAAACGCAUCGUAGUCCGGAUCGGAGUCUGCAACUCGACUCCGUGAAGUCGGAAUCGCUAGUAAUCGUGAAUCAGAAUGUCACGGUGAAUACGUUCCCGGGCCUUGUACACACCGCCCGUCAC